This is a long non-coding RNA of Heterocephalus glaber (naked mole-rat), 4924 nucleotides long. NCBI's taxonomy places the organism in Eukaryota, Metazoa, Chordata, Mammalia, Rodentia, Bathyergidae. The record is from Ensembl.
GCCCGGGGGUGGCCGCGGCGGGGGGCGAGUUCGCCUUCGCCUAUCUGGCCUGGCUCAUCUACUCCAUCGCCUUCACGCCUAAGGUGGUGCUCAUCCUGGGCACGUCCAUCCUGGAUCUCAUCGAGCUGCGCGCGCCCUUUGGCACCACGGGCUUCCGCCUCACCGUGGCGCUGUCGGUGCCGCUGCUCUACAGCUUGGUGCGGGCCAUCAGCGAGGCAGGCGCGCCUCCGGGCUCGGCGGGACCUCUGCUCCUGCAGCCGCAGCAGCACCGCGCCGCUGGCUGCUUCCUGGGCACGUGUCUGGACCUGCUCGACAGUUUCACCCUGGUGGAGCUGAUGCUGGAAGGCCGAGUGCCUCUGCCCGCACACCUGCGCUACCUGCUCAUCGCGGUCUACUUCCUCACCCUCGCCUCGCCGGUGCUCUGGCUCUACGAGCUGAACGCCGUGGCCGCCGCCGCUUGGUCCUGGGGCCAGGCCUCGGGGCCCGGCAGCUGCAGCCGCCUUCUGCGCCUGCUUGGCGGCUGCCUGGUGGACGUACCCUUGCUGGCCCUGCGCUGCCUCCUGGUGGUGAGCUACCAGCAGCCCCUCUCCAUCUUCAUGCUCAAGAACCUCUUCUUCCUCGGCUGCCGUGGCCUGGAGGCCCUGGAGGGCUGCUGGGACCAGGGGAGCCGGACCUCUCCCAGUCAGGCCAGAGGUGGCUACGGUGCUCCUCCCUCUGCUCCUCCACCACCGCCACCGCCUCCACCGCCACCUCAGGGAGGCUCCCAGCUAGGUCACUGCAUCUCUGAGAAUGAGGGGGGGCCCCAUGGCUAUGUCAACACCUUGGCUGUGGCCUCCCAGAACUGAUGGGGUGAAGGGCAAGGGGCCUUGCUUUGGGGUUGAGAGUGUGCCGCUCCCUCGGCCUCUGACCUUCUCUCACCCAGGUUUGAUCAGGCUCUGUUUAGAAGUGACUGUUACUAGGGCUGAGGGCCGGCGUGUUCCUCUGUACCCAAGGGGUACUGCUUGGAGAGGACCCCUAGUGAAUUGAGAGGGAGGUCCGUCUACUUACCUUGUGCUCUGGUCUUCACCCAAUACCUGACCUCCAAGGAGCUGGAAAACUAUGCUUCCUGCUUUUCCUGCCUCCACCCUGCUUCCCAUCCACUGUGGGGGAGAAUGGAGGACAGGGGGUGUUGUGGCGGGGACUUUGGCCUUCACCAGGCUCUUUAGGUUGUGGGUGGUGUCUGUUGCCUCAGAAUCCACUCUUCCCCUGAGGAGUCUCUACCAGAAGGUAGAUGAAAGUGCGUGUCUGUGUGUGUGUGUGUGUGUGUGUGUGUGUGUGUGUGUGUGGCGGUGUCUCCUUGAGUCUACCCUGUGGCCCUUUGCCAUCCAUAGAUCAGAAGGCUUGCCUUCCCCACCGCACAUACCACCACCGUUCUCUUUCCAGCUUGAAUUUGUGAGCAUGAAUUCCCAGGAAGAGCGGGCCUUGGAGCUGCCCAGUUACUCUCCUCCAAGGGAGAAGCUGACCCAGGGUCUUCCUCAACUCCUCUCCUCCCUUCUCAGCUUGAGGAGGAGGGUGUCCCGCACUCGAAGGACCAAAUGGCACCCUUUUGUGGGUGAGCGAGCAAUUCUACCUCCAUUCUUUCAACUUUUGCUGCAUCAUGUGCUGAUGCUGCUUGCAAAAAAAUAGAAACAAAAUACUCAGAAUUUGCAUUCAACGUGGCCACCAGACCCUGUUGGGCUUUGGUGCCAGUAUGGUUACAGGGUCUGUGGAGUAUCAGCCAUUGGCUUGGCCGCCUGUUCCUCCCUCUGUGCCCAGAAGAGUUCUCCUUCCUGCAGCUUCGUCCUGGCUGGGUCAGAACAGGACGCAGCAGCAGCUUUAGGGGAAGAGGUGCCUGGAUGGAUGUGAAAUUGGGCUUCCUGUGGGCCCAAGGAGUAGGACACAACACCCUACCUGUCCCUCCUCUGGGAAGCUUGGUGUAGAUCAGAAAGGGUGGCAGUGCCCUCUCUCCUUUGCUCUGCUGACAGGACUCUGGAGGGAAAAAGAGGCAGUAGAGCCCUGCCCCCGAGUCUGCCCAGACUCCUCUUACUGAGGCGAUGGCAAAAGACAACCCAGGGUUGCCCCGCUGGAGUCUUGAUGUGGGACAUUGCUUUGGAGUCUCUGAGGCAAGACAAAUAUUUUUAGGGAGGCAAGGAUACAGGAAGACUGCAGGGAGCAAGGCCAGGAAACACUCGCUUUCCUUCACCCACAAUAUGUUAAGGGUGGGGGAAAAUGUGAGGAGUUUUGGUUCCCCUUCUCCUUUUUUUCUGCUGUGGGAGUUCCAUGUAGUGUAACAAAUCCUGGAGCAGAAGGCAUGGAAGACAUGGAUUCUAAUUCUGUCUCUGUCACUCACUAGUUUUGAGUGUUGGAUCAUUUUUUACUUUCUGGGCCUUAGUUACCUUCCAACUCUAGCACUGUUUGAGUUUAGAGUUCUUGAAAACCCUGAUCACCUGUGAAACACAGUAAAAGCGGAGAGGAGAGGAGCCAGCUACAAUCCACCUUCGGGCCAUUUUCCCUGUUUUGCUCUGGGGAUGUCUGAAGCCUCAGGCUGGGAGUGAGAAGGCACCCGGCAGGGUGGAAGGCUGGGCCUGUCACUGCUGCCCUGUCCCAAGCUUCCCAAGAGCCCCUAGCACAGGGAGGGGCCCAAAGUGCCAAGUUACUGGCCACUAGCUCAGCAGCCAGGCCAGUGGUCACCCUUCUUUUGGUUUUGCUGGAUUCUCCAAGAAGUGAGGGCUACUGGGGGCCCUUUUCUUCCACCCGCCUUGGGGUUUGUGGGCAGAAGGUGCCAUGGAGGCAGGGAUACACGAGGGGCCGAGGGCAGACGUGGGUGCCUGGAGCCCACCCAGCCCUCAGAAUGGGCACCGGUGGGGAAAUGUUUACAGUCAGUGCACUCUGCGCUCCUCAGCCAGUACUGGUGGGCUGGAUUUCUGCCAUCUCUCCUUCCUCUAACGGGCUCCUCUUCUCUGCUGUUGGACUCAAGGUUCGAGGCCCCAGGCCCAGGUGGGACGAUGGCUGCUGCCACUGUUCCUACCCAUUUCUUCUCUCCAGCUCUGCUGUGUUUUUCUACUACCUAACCUCAGUGACUGUGAAAGGACAUUAUUUCUGAGCCAUGGCCGGUGCUGGCUGGCCCCCUGACCCAUGCUCUUCCUACUGUUUUGAUGGCCAUCUGGCUGCCAAGUGAUUGGCUCGCUGUGACCUCUGAGUGCUGUCUGCUUUUGAAUGGGCUGUGAUAGGUUCUGAUGGGCUGCCACUUCCCUGGGUCCGUCAAGAGGCCGAUUCUGGCAGAGGCCAGGCCUUCAGGUCCAGUUGAGGGACCCCAGUUCAACUUGGGCAUCUCCCUUUACACAUUUGGUACAGUGACUGUGCUCAGGAUGCUGGUCCCUUCCUUCUGGUGUGUUUUUCUUGGGUCCUGUCGUUCAUUGUCCUUGGCCCACCUACAAUAAGCAGUGGCCCCCGGAGCUCCACUUUCCUUGCUUUCUAGGCCAUCUAGAGUGCAGGGCUCACACUUGAGUGCUCCCCAGGGGUCUGAUGACCAGGAUGGUGAGCAGUCUCCUGGAGACCUAUGCCAGCAGCAGGGUUUACAGAAAAGAACCCUGGGCUCAGAUGGGGACCCGCCUGCUGUUAAUGUCUGAGCAUGUAAGUGGCAGCAGGGGUAGAAGGUUUCUCUGUCUGAACCCUCAAAACCUUUUCCAUUUUAUUUUUUGUAGUUUUAUGGAUGGAUGCCAGGGCCUUGUUUUUAGCAGGCAAGUGCUCUACCACUGAGCUACCUCCCCCGCCUUAAACCUUAUUUGUUUAAAAAAAAAAAAAAAGACUAGAGGGCUAGGGAUUUAGCUCAGUGGUUCUGCUGCCUGCCUUGCAAACACAAGGUCCCGAGUUCAAUUCCCAGUACGAAAAAAAAAGACUAGACCCUCUCUAAAGACUUGUUCCCUUCUCCUUUUUGUGACCUAGGGUUUUGCUAUGGUGCCCCAGGCUGCCUCAAAGUCCUGGGCUAAAUCGAUGCCCCUGCCUCAGCCUCCUGAGCAGUGGGGACUACAGGUGUGCGCCACCAUGCCUAGCUUGGCCUCUUCCUUGUUAGCAUCCAUUGGUACUGAGCCUGUGGGUUUUUGUAGAAGAAAGUUAGCUGAGCGUUAGAGCCUGGAAGGAGGGAAGUGGCACCUCACUAGCAUUUAUCGUGGUUUUUUUUUUCUUUCUCUUUUUAAAAAUAACAUGAGACUGUUCUGAAAAUAAAAAACUUGAGACUUGUGACAAGCUUCCUGUGUGGUUUAAGAUCUUUUCUGUCCUGGUUUCCUUACUAAAUUCUUAAAUGUCACUGUGACAUUUAUCAUCAUUUUAUAGGUUGGGGUUAGCAUCAUGGGGACACCUUGGCUAGGCAGUUGGCAUGCAGAGGCUGUAGUCCAGGCCUGGGGACCUAGCCAGGUCUUCUGUGGGCGUGGCUAACUUGGGAGGGCUUGGCUGAGAUGGACUUCCCCUGUUGCUCUGGGAUCCCACCCGAAGACUAACUUACCAAGGAGGAAAAGGCUGGAGAAACAGAUCUUUUGUUUGAGACAGGGCCACCCUAUGUUACACAGGCUGGCCUCUUACUGCUGGGCCCAAGUGAUCCUUCUGCCUCAGCCUACUGAGUAGCUGGGACUACAGGUAUGUACCACCACACCUACAAGAAACUGAUUUUUAUUUGUUUGUUUGUUUAUACCAGGGAUCGAACUCAGGACCUUGUGCUUGCGAGGCAGACACUGGAACGACUGAGUUAAAUCCCCAGCCCUCAGAAAUUAAUUUUUAAAUACUCUUCCUUCAUAACUCUUGUCCCAGCCAGAAGCACAAAUUCUUCUGUAUGAAUAACAAUACUACCAUUUUUGGGGGCUUGUUUGUUGUAACAUAAGGGGACAAUUAAGUCUAAGGCAGAGUAUUGAGC